This 449-nucleotide ribosomal RNA is filed under the name uncultured Glomus. RNAcentral's name for it is "SSU rRNA". It matches the Rfam family "Eukaryotic small subunit ribosomal RNA", at positions 569 to 1022 of the family's 1831-position model. The record is from RNAcentral. Lineage: Eukaryota; Fungi; Glomeromycota; Glomeromycetes; Glomerales; Glomeraceae.
AGCAGCCGCGGUAAUUCCAGCUCCAAUAGCGUAUAUUAAAGUUGUUGCAGUUAAAAAGCUCGUAGCUGAAUUUCGGGGUCAGCAAGUUGGUCGUGCCACUGGUAUGCACUGGCUUUGCUGAUUCCUCCUUCUUGAAGAACUGUAAUGCUAUUAAUUUAGUGUUGCAGGGAAACAGGACUGUUACUUUGAAAAAUUAGAGUGUUUAAAGCAGGCUAACGCUUGAAUACAUUAGCAUGGAAUAAUGAAAUAGGACGUUUGAUCCUAUUUUGUUGGUUUCUAGGAUUGACGUAAUGAUUAAUAGGGAUAGUUGGGGGCAUUAGUAUUCAAUUGUCAGAGGUGAAAUUCUUGGAUUUAUUGAAGACUAACUACUGCGAAAGCAUUUGCCAAGGAUUGUUUUCAUUAAUCAAGAACGAAAGUUAGGGGAUCGAAGACGAUCAGAUACCGUCGUA